Molecule: ribosomal RNA, 487 nt
Filed under: uncultured bacterium
Lineage: Bacteria
Description: partial 16S ribosomal RNA
Rfam family: Bacterial small subunit ribosomal RNA
Source: RNAcentral
GUGAACGCUGGCGGUAGGCCUAACCCAUGCAAGUCGAACGGCAGCACAGUAAGAGCUUGCUCUUACGGGUGGCGAGUGGCGGACGGGUGAGGAAUACAUCGGAAUCUACUUUUUCGUGGGGGAUAACGUAGGGAAACUUACGCUAAUACCGCAUACGACCUACGGGUGAAAGCAGGGGAUCUUCGGACCUUGCGCGAUUGAAUGAGCCGAUGUCGGAUUAGCUAGUUGGCGGGGUAAAGGCCCACCAAGGCGACGAUCCGUAGCUGGUCUGAGAGGAUGAUCAGCCACACUGGAACUGAGACACGGUCCAGACUCCUACGGGAGGCAGCAGUGGGGAAUAUUGGACAAUGGGCGCAAGCCUGAUCCAGCCAUACCGCGUGGGUGAAGAAGGCCUUCGGGUUGUAAAGCCCUUUUGUUGGGAAAGAAAAGCAGCAGGUUAAUACCCCGCUGUUCUGACGGUACCCAAAGAAUAAGCACCGGCUAACUU